This 493-nucleotide ribosomal RNA is filed under the name uncultured Burkholderia sp. Its description in RNAcentral is "bacterial SSU rRNA". It matches the Rfam family "Bacterial small subunit ribosomal RNA", at positions 164 to 651 of the family's 1533-position model. The record is from RNAcentral. Lineage: Bacteria; Pseudomonadati; Pseudomonadota; Betaproteobacteria; Burkholderiales; Burkholderiaceae.
UAAUACCGCAUAUGCUCUACGGAGGAAAGCCGGGGAUCCGCAAGGACCUGGCGUUAUGGGAGCGGCCGAUGUCCGAUUAGCUAGUUGGUGGGGUAAAGGCUUACCAAGGCGACGAUCGGUAGCUGGUCUGAGAGGAUGAUCAGCCACACUGGGACUGAGACACGGCCCAGACUCCUACGGGAGGCAGCAGUGGGGAAUUUUGGACAAUGGGGGCAACCCUGAUCCAGCCAUGCCGCGUGCGGGAAGAAGGCCUUCGGGUUGUAAACCGCUUUUAGUCGGGAAGAAAAGGGCGAGGCUAAUACCUUCGUCACUUGACGGUACCGGCGGAAUAAGCACCGGCUAACUACGUGCCAGCAGCCGCGGUAAUACGUAGGGUGCGAGCGUUAAUCGGAAUUACUGGGCGUAAAGCGUGCGCAGGCGGUUCGUUAAGUUCGUUGUAAAGCCCCGGGCUCAACCUGGGAACUGCAAUGGAAACUGGCGGGCUAGAGUAGGC